Molecule: unclassified non-coding RNA, 200 nt
Filed under: soil metagenome
Description: partial contains internal transcribed spacer 2 and large subunit ribosomal RNA
Source: RNAcentral
UGUUCGAGCGUCAUUUCAACCCUCAAGCUCUGCUUGGUCUUGGGCCCCGCCGGCGACGGCAGGCCUCAAAAACAGUGGCGGCGCGUCCGGUCCCUCAGCGUAGUAAUUCUUCUCGCUGCUGGGCCCGGGUGGCGCUGGCCAGGAACCCCAAACUUUCUAUGGUUGACCUCGGAUCAGGUAGGGAUACCCGCUGAACUUAA